Molecule: non-coding RNA, 535 nt
Organism: Hydra vulgaris (swiftwater hydra)
Lineage: Eukaryota; Metazoa; Cnidaria; Hydrozoa; Anthoathecata; Hydridae
Source: RefSeq, a predicted model, not a curated record
AAAUAAAAAUUUAAUUAUUGAUAGUUAUUACACAAUGUUGAAUGCAUGUGUUAGAAUGUUUUUGUGUUUGUUUUAGCAACUGCUUGGCUAUUGGCCCAGAAAGGAUCCAGUGUGCAGAGUCAAAAAGAGUGAACUACCUGAUCCGAAAUGGCCACUAUACAAAAUUAGAACUUUUAGGGCGGCAGUGGAAAGUUAUAGCAAAGCAUCAGAUUUAGCUAAGAGAGCAUUAGUAAUGUCAAAUGUGGAAGAUACUGAUAUAAACAAAGAGACUUCUUCUGAUAUUGAAGAUGAAACCUCUUCUGGUGAUCACAAUCCUCCAAGGAAAAAAAUCAAACUUUUAUCUGCACAAAGAUAUAAUUCAAAACAAAACAAAGGCAAGAGUUAAUUUCUGUUUUAAUAAUUAAGUAUUUCACAUUUAACAUGUGUUGACAUUAUUAUGACAUAUAGCACUAGUGUGUGUAUCUGGAAUGUAGUUGAUUAAGAUAUUUAUUGUAGCACGAUUUUAAUUGCAUUAACAUUUAAAAUUCUAUUUUGU